GCCAGUGCAGGAGCUGUAAACUCCCUGGAUCACCUUUCACUCAUAGGCACGAAAGGAGAAGAAUCCAGCUUGGUCUCAAUCAAUGGUGCAAUCUUUAUUCAAACACAAAUACAUGGAUCACAGUAGAGGAAUCACCUCCAUGAUGCUUCGCAAUAUGUUUAAAUACCAUAGAUGUAUUUUUGGUACCAAAGUGCGGAACAUCUGAGAGGUUUCAGAGGAUUGCUGGUGCAGCCCACGUAUUGGAUCAAACACAAGUCACAGAGAUGUGAAGAUCAGCUCACCCGAUCACAGUCCCAUCCACAGCGUGGCAGGUGUGCGGCAACACCAACAGAUAUGAAGAAAAGAAAGUAGCCAGCAUGGAAAAUGCAGACACUCUCUUUAUUGCAUAAACUCCAAAGCACAGAACAGGGUAACCAUGAUGAUGCGUUUUAGGCAUUUACCGCCCUUUCUUGUGAUUGUAUUAUGUUCUGCAACACUGACCCACUUGAGAAAUAUAGCGAAACGACUUAAUGUACUGCACAAUGUUUAAUAUUGAUAUGGGAACUCAACCCAUGUUUUUGACCAUCAUCCAGGACAUAGUCCUAUAGAGAUACCUCCAUAGGCUACAUCUGAAUGGUAAAGAUUAAGUUUUUGCUCUUUUUUUUUUUAAUGAUAAUUGAACAACUAUACACUACUGUUACCUUGUUAAGUGUAAAUUUUCUAGUGAAAACCUGCAAAUCCUGUAUGCCAACUGCAAUUAGAAACAUUGAUUUAU
This is a long non-coding RNA of Hyla sarda, 754 nucleotides long. RefSeq lists it as uncharacterized. The transcript has 3 exons. NCBI's taxonomy places the organism in Eukaryota, Metazoa, Chordata, Amphibia, Anura, Hylidae. The record is from RefSeq and is a predicted model, not a curated record.